CCGGCGUGUGCGGCGCGCGGCCGGCGGACAUGGCAGGCAGCGAUGCGACGGCCGUGGCCGCACCGCGGAGCGUGGAAGCCGAGCGCAUGGAGGGCGGGGACGGAUGCCCGCGUCGUCGUCGCGGUGCCGUGGUCCACCUGCCCGCGGCGAGGUGCUCGAUCUCCUCCAGUUGCGAUGCAGAAUCGAGAAGGCGUAUGGAUCAGCUCGGUCAUGCGAGGACCGGAGACAUAUCUGCUAGCUGUCCCUGAGCAAAUGUCCUUGCCCGUGCACAGCACAUUUGGCUGCACUCACUCUGUCACUCAGGAGGAAAAAAGGUAUGUCGAAAUUACACCUUUCUAUUUGGGCGUUUAGAUUUACACUCGACAAAACGAAAUGCUUGCAGUCAUUCAAUCCAAAUACAUCCAACCAAAUCAUAUUUCUAGCUUCCUAGGUGGUUCAGAUUUCUGCUAAUAUAUGGACAUCUGGACUGACAAGUCACAGCUGUCUGUGUGUGUGCAUAUAUGACUGGCUAUAUUGCAUCGGAAUGGAUCAGAAACGGACACAACAAAGGGCACUGAAGCCUCCUGGUUUCACACGGGAAGAGGCUUUUUCAUCCAGGUGGUAGUUUUCUUCGUCCUCUCGGUUCUCCUACAUGCCGAUUUGGUUGGCGGAGGCGAUGCUCUAGCAACACAUACCUAAAGUACUCUCUCUGGUUGGCUUACACGGCCGGCCCCUCCGUGGUGAUCUACACCCUUGGUCUCAUGCGGUCAUCUACAUUCCAUUGCGAUAUGUUUUACAUAUGGACCCUGUCCUUGCUCAUGGCCCUGGGAAGCACAAACUCCAUGACCGCCUUUAGCGUUGACGACAACAAGCAAUACAUGAGGCAUUUCAUCCAACAGGAUCUGUAUGUGCUGAUGUUUUUAUCUAUUUUGAAGAUUGGUGUAUCGGAGAUUACAACCUUCCAGUCUUUGUGAGACUCAUCGAAUUAUUAUUAUACAUUCUGACGAUUUCUAUUAAUGUUGGAAGGAUUUAUGCUAGUAUGUCUGCAAGCAGUUUCUUGGACAAGCAAACCAGCAAUGUUGAAGAUCACAUGAAGAGUGAGCACAAAGAAUCAACCAAUUAUGAUCCUGUCACCCUGCAAGGUUACAAUUACCUUGUCUGCGAGCGGAUCGAUUCUCCUACAGAAAUUACAGUCAGCCAGAUCUGGCUUUCCAGUUUCCAAUGAGGGUCCGUUCAGCAGCAGUGAUAGUGAACAAUUAAAGAGGGCCUGCCUUUCGUAUGCCUUAUUCCGGCUUUUGAGGCGGAGUUUCUUUGGGAUUGCUUGUCCUGAAUCCACGCUUCAGAAAACACAUGACCUUAUUCUGAAAGGACUGCUGGUGGAUGUAGAAAAUAACUAUGAAGCUGCAUAUAGGGUAAUUGAGGCCGAGUUGGCUUUCAUUCACGAUCACUUCUUCACCAGCUCUGCUUCCUUCAAUACUAAACUAAGCAGAUUGAUCAUCCUUCUUAGUAUUGGGAAAGUUUGUGCAUACCCUUUGAUAGCAGUAUUGCUGAUUCGAACCUUUAUCCACAAUAAUGACAAAAUUAGAAGCAGCAAAACACAAGUGGUGCCUGUGCGACUAUCUGUUGCAAUCCUCAUUGCAGUAAUCAUGAUAGUGUUUUCAAUACUAGAGCUUCUACAGCUUUAUCUGUAUUUGUCAUCUGAUUGGGCGAAGAUACAACUUGUUUGCUUUUACAUAUCUGGGAAAAGCAUUCAAUGCGGAGCUUAUAUGUUUUAUAAUAAGCUUCCCAGGAUAUUGGGAUAUUGGCAGCACAAAAUUGGCCAGCACUCACUACUGAAAGAUUUGCAUGGUCGAUCAUUCAUUACUGACAUUAUGGGAUCAGUGUCCGGGUGAUUCUUCAGGCUUUUUGAGUAUCAUUAUGCGAGUUUUCAUGAAAGGGAUCCGGCUUGGGAAGCAGCUCAAAGAGAUUAGACAUCAUAUGCGCUGGAAGGUACUAGCAGAUUUCUGGACUGAGAUGAUAUUGUACAUAGCUCCAUCAGACAAUGCAAAAGCUCAUAUUGAGCAUCUAGCGAAUGGAGGGGAGUUUCUGACCCAUCUUUGGGCCUUGAUUUUCCACACUGGCAUUGUAAACAGAGAUGAAUUCAGCCAUGACAUAGAAAAUGCAGCAACUGACUAGAGUAAUCAAGAAGUCCAAGACUGAUGCCGCAUUUGUGGUGAUCACGGAGUAGACGAUUACCCCAGUUGUAAUGCCAGAUCCAAGCCCAGGUCGGGAUGAAGAUGCUGAAUAACUCGAUGCUGCUUGUCUUUGGUUUUGAGUUUCUGGAUGUUAGAUAGAAACUACUACCUCUGUGAAGUUCUUACUCUGUUUCCUUGAGUUUU
Long non-coding RNA from Panicum virgatum (switchgrass), 2357 nucleotides. RefSeq lists it as uncharacterized. NCBI's taxonomy places the organism in Eukaryota, Viridiplantae, Streptophyta, Magnoliopsida, Poales, Poaceae. The record is from RefSeq and is a predicted model, not a curated record. The transcript is spliced from 2 exons.